GACGAACGCUGGCGGCGUGCUUAAUACAUGCAAGUCAACGAUUUUUAAGAUAGCAAUAUUUUAAAAAUAGUGGCGCACGGUGAGUAACACGUAGAUAAUCUGCCUUUAGGUCUGACAUAACUCGUCGAAAGACGGGCUAAUAUCAGAUAAAACAAUAACUUGGCAUCAAGUAAUUGUCAAAAGCUUCGGCGCCCAAAGAUGAGUCUGCGGACCAUUAGGUAGUUGGUGGAUUAACAGCCCACCAAGCCAACGAUGGAUAGCUGGUCUGAGAGGAUGAUCAGCCACACUGGAACUGAGACACGGUCCAGACUCCUACGGGAGGCAGCAGUAAGGAAUAUUGCUCAAUGGGAGAAAUCCUGAAGCAGCAACGCCGACGUGAAGGAAGAAGGGUACUUCGGACUUGU
Molecule: ribosomal RNA, 404 nt
Filed under: uncultured bacterium
Lineage: Bacteria
Description: bacterial SSU rRNA
Rfam family: Bacterial small subunit ribosomal RNA
Source: RNAcentral